Molecule: ribosomal RNA, 564 nt
Filed under: uncultured bacterium
Lineage: Bacteria
Description: bacterial SSU rRNA
Rfam family: Bacterial small subunit ribosomal RNA
Source: RNAcentral
CCUACGGGAGGCAGCAGUGGGGAAUUUUGGACAAUGGGCGCAAGCCUGACGCAGCAACGCCGCGUGCGGGAUGAAAGGCUUCGGGCUGUAAACCGCUUUCAGCAGGAACGAAAAUGACGGUACCUGCAGAAGAAGGAGCGGCCAACUACGUGCCAGCAGCCGCGGUGACACGUAGGCUCCAAGCGUUGUCCGGAUUUAUUGGGCGUAAAGAGCUCGUAGGCGGUUGAGUAAGUCGGGUGUGAAAACUCUGGGCUUAACCCGGAGACGCCAUCCGAUACUGCUCUGACUAGAGUUCAGGAGGGGAGUGGGGAAUUCCUAGUGUAGCGGUGAAAUGCGCAGAUAUUAGGAGGAACACCGGUGGCGAAGGCGCCACUCUGGACUGAAACUGACGCUGAGGAGCGAAAGCAUGGGUAGCAAACAGGAUUAGAUACCCUGGUAGUCCAUGCCGUAAACGGUGGGCACUAGGUGUGGGUUCCAACUAACGGGAUCCGCGCCGUCGCUAACGCAUUAAGUGCCCCGCCUGGGGAGUACGGUCGCAAGACUAAAACUCAAAGGAAUUGACGG